ACCAGGAUGGCCAAGAGGUUAAGGCGUUGGACUUAAGAUCCAAUAAACAAAUGUCCUCGUGGGUUUGAACCCCACUCCUGGUU
Molecule: transfer RNA, 83 nt
Filed under: Danio rerio (zebrafish)
Lineage: Eukaryota; Metazoa; Chordata; Actinopteri; Cypriniformes; Danionidae
Rfam family: tRNA
About the family: Transfer RNA (tRNA) molecules are approximately 80 nucleotides in length.
Source: Rfam by way of RNAcentral